AACCUCCGCAAUGUGAGAAAUCGCGACGGGGGGAUCCCAAGUGCCAUUCUUAACGGGAUGGCUUUUCAUUAGUGUAAAGAGCUUUUGGAAUAAGAGCUGGGCAAGACCGGUGCCAGCCGCCGCGGUAACACCGGCAGCUCUAGUGGUAGCAAUUUUUAUUGGGCCUAAAGCGUCCGUAGCCGGUUUAAUAAGUCUCUGGCGAAAUCCUGCAGCUUAACUGUGGGAAUUGCUGGAGAUACUAUUAGACUUGAGAUCGGGAGAGGUUAGAGGUACUCCCAGGGUAGAGGUGAAAUUCUGUAAUCCUGGGAGGACCGCCUGUUGCGAAGGCGUCUAACUGGAACGAUUCUGACGGUGAGGGACGAAAGUUAGGGGCGCGAACCGGAUUAGAUACCCGGGUAGUCCUAACUGUAAACGAUGCGGACUUGGUGUUGGGGUGGCUUUGAGCUGCUCCAGUGCCGAAGGGAAGCUGUUAAGUCCGCCGCCUGGGAAGUACGGUCGCAAGACUGAAACUUAAAGGAAUU
RNAcentral lists this ribosomal RNA (521 nucleotides) under uncultured bacterium. Its description in RNAcentral is "bacterial SSU rRNA". It matches the Rfam family "Archaeal small subunit ribosomal RNA", at positions 345 to 866 of the family's 1478-position model. The record is from RNAcentral.